GGAGGAUGUGCAGCUGGGUGGCUCCACUGGGCCAUCCUGAGAGGAUGAGACUGUUGUGCAGUGGGGCCAGGCCAUCUGGCUGCCCUCACCCACCCAGGCCAGCUCAGCCUUUAUUCCCUCUUGACAGGCUGCAUUUCCCAGAACUCUGCUGCUUGGGUCACAAACCUCAGGGUCAGGAAGGGCUCCAAGAGCAGCUCCUACUCCACUUAGUGAAGGACAGAAGACAUCCGGGGCCCGCAAGGGGAGGUGACAGACUGCUGGCCUGCUGUUGCCAUGAAGCCCUGAGGACCUCCUCUCCUCUGCCUCACUCGCAGACACCAAUUCAGCGCCUCCUGUAUGCCAGGCAUCAGGAAUGCCCAGCUGGAGAGGAAGAGUCCACACCUCCUGCAAUCCACAGCAUGUGCAUGGUCUCUAUGUACCAAGCACUGUCUAUUCUCUCUUUCCUUUUCCUUUCCUUUUCUUCUUUCUUUUUUUUUUUUUUUUUUGUUAGUGAGGAUUGAACUCACAACCUUGCACUUGCCAAGCAGGCACUUGUGCCGCUGAGCUAAAUCCCCAGCCCUACUAAACAUUGUCUUAAACAUUUCAC
RNAcentral lists this long non-coding RNA (586 nucleotides) under Cavia porcellus (domestic guinea pig). RNAcentral's name for it is "lncRNA (ENSCPOG00000038666.1)". The record is from RNAcentral. Lineage: Eukaryota; Metazoa; Chordata; Mammalia; Rodentia; Caviidae.